RNAcentral lists this long non-coding RNA (451 nucleotides) under Trifolium pratense (red clover). Its description in RNAcentral is "long non-coding RNA (TPRA_LNC009972)". The record is from RNAcentral. Lineage: Eukaryota; Viridiplantae; Streptophyta; Magnoliopsida; Fabales; Fabaceae.
AAUUCAGUAAACCUUCAUUUCAUUAAUUCAAGUUAUGAGGGUUUUCGCAGGUAUUAAGGUAUACAGUCUGGUGUUUGGUUUUAGGCCUCAGAUCAAUCCAUCUAUCUCAGUAUUUCAAAAAAGGAUGUGAGUCCUAAAAUCAAUGCACGUGACUACUAUUAACCUUUCUUCUCUUCAAUCAUCGAGGAUGCACUUUGUUGGUAAAAAGUUUCUAAAACUGUGAAGUAAAGGCUUCUCUGCUCUCUAAUCUCUGCUGUUGCUACUGCUCUACUACUCUAUCUCUACUUUUUACUUAAUUGUCUUUUAUUUUCGUUGGUUUGUAAUAAUAUUUGAUGUUGCUUGGAUAUUGGCUGGAUGUUUUAUUUGUGUACUCUGAAUUUGAAUCUUCUUUUGUUUGAUGGUGGAAUGGUUUUUACUUUUAGAGUUUGUUUCAAUACUUUGGCAUGUUCCU